AACACGCUACAGAACUUGGCCUUAGUAACUAUUCAAAAUGACCAUUUUUAUAGACUUAAUAGAAAAAUACUAUUGCUGUGGGAAGAAGGAUACAACCAUUUGCAGUAAGUGUUCAUGCAGCAGGCUUUCCAUCACUGAAUAGGAUGGAUAGCUUGUUCGGAUAUACCAUAGCUAUCAGAAGGACUAUGUCAUCGUGCUAUCAGAGGGAUAGAAGUUCCCUAGCAUCUGUAGUAGCAGUUUUUCAAAAGUUCUGUUCUGAGUCAUUUCUUCAGACUGACAGAGCAGAAAAGCUUAACUGCCUUGGGUCCAUUUUCAGGUUAGCUUUAGCCUUUUCGUAGGAGACAGUAGGAAGCAAAGGUGAGCGUGGAUAGCAUUUCAGAGUUGAAAUGGUGUAGCUGAUUGUCUUUUAUNNNNNNNNNNCAAAACGCACUGGAAGCAAACAGUUUUUCUCCUGGAGAAACCAAUUCCUGUAGAAGCAGGUAUGUUUAAAUUCAGUUGUGGUGCAACAAUGGUUGUGUUACACUGCUAUUAUCAUUUACAUGUAAAACAGUUCAAGAAUUAUGUGUUAAAAAGAACUAGUAAAUAAAUCUUUCAGCUGCUGUUUAAAAACUUUCUUGGCUUAAGCAAUGCAGUAGGAAAUAUAUAUCUGUGUUCUGUAAAAUCAACAUUAAAAAUGUAUAUAUAUAUGUGUUUGCACAUAUAUAUUUAAGUGGGCAUAUNNNNNNNNNNUGUGUUUGGUAAUUGAUUGAUGUAUUGUGGUAUUAAAAAUGGUGUUCUUUAAUGAAAGUCUUGAACUCUUCCAUUGCAGGUCUUGUUUUCAACUGGUCCCUGGUGUACCAAAACGCACUGGAAGCAAACAGUUUUUCUCCUGGAGAAACCAAUUCCUGUAGAAGCAGGGGAGGCCCUGAGAGGAACGAUAACAGUUCGCAAAAACAGAAAAGAUCCGCGAUCCCUCUUUAUAACCCUUUCGGUGAAGGACACAAAGCAGACCUACAGCCUUCAGUGAAAGUUCUACAUAUAGCUUUGAGAAAUGUCAGAUAUAACUGUCAGAUUGAACAGUUGAUAACUGUUUCUAAAUAUCCAAAAAUGUGGCAUAUGGCGACUGGUGACACAGUGAGAUUCUGCUGUGUCUCACACGAUGUGGGGGAAGGAAGGAAAAGCUGGAUUUGAGUUAGAUGAGACUGCUGGGUGAGAAAAAUGCCUUUAAAGUCUUGCUGUGAGGAACA
Molecule: long non-coding RNA, 1226 nt
Filed under: Anas zonorhyncha (Eastern spot-billed duck)
Lineage: Eukaryota; Metazoa; Chordata; Aves; Anseriformes; Anatidae
Description: lncRNA (ENSAZOG00000007265.1)
Source: RNAcentral